GCGAUAGCCUCAGUAACGGCGAGUGAAGCGGCUACAGCUCAAAUUUGAAAUCUGGCCCUCUUCCGGGGGUCCGAGUUGUAAUUUGCAGAGGAUGCUUUGGCAUUGGCGGCGGUCUAAGUUCCUUGGAACAGGACAUCGCAGAGGGUGAGAAUCCCGUACGUGGGCGCCUGCCUUUGCCGUGUAAAGCUCCUUCGACGAGUCGAGUUGUUUGGGAAUGCAGCUCUAAAUGGGAGGUAAAUUUCUCCUAAAGCUAAAUACCGGCCAGAGACCGAUAGCGCACAAGUAGAGUGAUCGAAAGAUGAAAAGUACUUUGGAAAGAGAGUCAAAUAGCACGUGAAAUUGUUGAAAGGGAAGCGCUUGCAGCCAGACUUGCCCGCAGUUGCUCACCCAGGCUCUUGCCUGGGGCACUCUUCUGCGGGCAGGCCAGCAUCAGUUUGGGCGGUCGGAUAAAGGCCUCUGUCACGUACCACCUUUUCGGGGGUGGCCUUAUAGGGGAGGCGCAAUGCGGCCAGCCCGGACUGAGGUCCGCGCAUCUGCUAGGAUGCUGGCGUAAUGGCUGUAAGCGGCCCGUCUUGAAACACGGACCAAGGAGUCUAACAUCUAUGCGAGUGUUUGGGUGUCAAGCCCGGGCGCGCAAUGAAAGUGAACGGAGGUGGGAACCCCCUCGGGGCGCACCAUCGACCGAUCCUGAUGUCUUCGGAUGGAUUUGAGUAAGAGCAUAGCUGUUGGGACCCGAAAGAUGGUGAACUAUGCUUGAAUAGGGUGAAGCCAGAGGAAACUCUGGUGGAGGCUCGCAGCGGUUCUGACGUGCAAAUCGAUCGUCAAAUUUGGGCAUAGGGGCGAAAGACUA
RNAcentral lists this ribosomal RNA (850 nucleotides) under Pleosporales sp. RNAcentral's name for it is "partial large subunit ribosomal RNA". It matches the Rfam family "Eukaryotic large subunit ribosomal RNA", at positions 71 to 933 of the family's 3401-position model. Lineage: Eukaryota; Fungi; Ascomycota; Dothideomycetes; Pleosporales. The record is from RNAcentral.